This 638-nucleotide ribosomal RNA is filed under the name uncultured bacterium. Its description in RNAcentral is "bacterial SSU rRNA". It matches the Rfam family "Bacterial small subunit ribosomal RNA", at positions 202 to 842 of the family's 1533-position model. The record is from RNAcentral.
AAAGGCUUCGGCCGGUAAAGGAUGGGGAUGCGUCUGAUUAGCUUGCCGGCGGGGUAACGGCCCACCGGGGCGACGAUCAGUAGGGGUUCUGAGAGGAAGGUCCCCCACAUUGGAACUGAGACACGGUCCAAACUCCUACGGGAGGCAGCAGUGAGGAAUAUUGGUCAAUGGGCGCGAGCCUGAACCAGCCAAGUAGCGUGCAGGACGACGGCCCUAUGGGUUGUAAACUGCUUUUAUACGGGGAUAAAGUAUGCCACGUGUGGUUUAUUGCAGGUACCGUAUGAAUAAGGACCGGCUAAUUCCGUGCCAGCAGCCGCGGUAAUACGGAAGGUCCGGGCGUUAUCCGGAUUUAUUGGGUUUAAAGGGAGCGUAGGCCGGGUUUUAAGCGUGCCGUGAAAUGUCGGGGCUCAACCUUGACACUGCGGCGCGAACUGGAGUCCUUGAGUGCGCGGAACGUAUGCGGAAUUCGUGGUGUAGCGGUGAAAUGCUUAGAUAUCACGAAGAACCCCGAUUGCGAAGGCAGCAUACGGCAGCGCUACUGACGCUGAAGCUCGAAGGCGCGGGUAUCGAACAGGAUUAGAUACCCUGGUAGUCCGCGCGGUAAACGAUGGAUGCCCGCUGUUGGCGAUAUAUUGUCA